Molecule: ribosomal RNA, 253 nt
Filed under: uncultured bacterium
Lineage: Bacteria
Description: partial 16S ribosomal RNA
Rfam family: Bacterial small subunit ribosomal RNA
Source: RNAcentral
UACGAAGGGGGCUAGCGUUGCUCGGAAUGACUGGGCGUAAAGGGCGCGUAGGCGGUUUGGUUAGUUAGGCGUGAAAUUCCUGGGCUCAACCUGGGGACUGCGCUUAAUACAGCCAGGCUAAAGUGUGGAAAAAGGUCGUGGAAUUUCCAGUGUAGAGGUGAAAUUCGUAGAUAUUGGGAAGAACACCGGUGGCGAAGGCGGCGACCUGGUCCAUUACUGACGCUGAGGCGCGAAAGCGUGGGGAGCAAACAGG